UCCGUAGGUGAACCUGCGGAGGGAUCAUUACACAAAUAUGAAGGCGGGCUGGAACCUCUCGGGGUUACAGCCUUGCUGAAUUAUUCACCCUUGUCUUUUGCGUACUUCUUGUUUCCUUGGUGGGUUCGCCCACCACUAGGACAAACAUAAACCUUUUGUAAUUGCAAUCAGCGUCAGUAACAAAUUAAUAAUUACAACUUUCAACAACGGAUCUCUUGGUUCUGGCAUCGAUGAGGAACGCAGCGAAAUGCGAUAAGUAGUGUGAAUUGCAGAAUUCAGUGAAUCAUCGAAUCUUUGAACGCACAUUGCGCCCUUUGGUAUUCCAAAGGGCAUGCCUGUUCGAGCGUCAUUUGUACCCUCAAGCUUUGCUUGGUGUUGGGCGUCUUGUCUCUAGCUUUGCUGGAGACUCGCCUUAAAGUAAUUGGCAGCCGGCCUACUGGUUUCGGAGCGCAGCACAAGUCGCACUCUCUAUCAGCAAAGGUCUAGCAUCCAUUAAGCCUUUUUUUCAACUUUUGACCUCGGAUCAGGUAGGGAUACCCGCUGAACUUAAGC
Molecule: ribosomal RNA, 552 nt
Filed under: uncultured fungus
Lineage: Eukaryota; Fungi
Description: eukaryotic LSU rRNA
Rfam family: 5.8S ribosomal RNA (bases 196-349)
Source: RNAcentral